Molecule: non-coding RNA, 96 nt
Filed under: Marinobacter sp. LV10R510-11A
Lineage: Bacteria; Pseudomonadati; Pseudomonadota; Gammaproteobacteria; Pseudomonadales; Marinobacteraceae
Source: RNAcentral
CGCCGAUGGAGGUAACCCCGCCGAUGAUUGAGCAGAAGUCAGCAGACGGCACAGUAGCCAAGCGCCCAUCGUAAUGGUUGGGACACGGUGAAGGCC